RNAcentral lists this ribosomal RNA (783 nucleotides) under Eurytemora affinis. Its description in RNAcentral is "eukaryotic LSU rRNA". The stretch from base 367 to 519 matches the Rfam family "5.8S ribosomal RNA". The record is from RNAcentral. Lineage: Eukaryota; Metazoa; Arthropoda; Copepoda; Calanoida; Temoridae.
AUCAUUAAAGGUUUGGUUCCGUGCCUCUGGCGCAGACCGAAUGCUUUGGCAAACCCUCGGGUAAGAGCGGGUGUUUCGUCGAAACCGGGGGCCUGUCCCCUGGCUAGGCAGUCAACCCCGUUCUCCUAGGGCCCGGGACUUGUCUGUCCCGGGCUGUAAGCCUCUGUCUCCCCGGGUCGACCUCUUCUGGUCCCAGGGUCGUAGCUUUGGCUGCUCUGCUCGUGACCGGCACCCUGCAACGGGUUGUCAUAGAGUUCUCGCCGGUCCAGCGGAGUUUGUGUGUGUCCCCUCACCCGGGCUCGAGUACACGUGAAACGGUUCAACCCUCUAAACCUUCGGAGCUAAACACUCCGUCGUACCUUAUACACUUCCAUGCAGUGGAUCAGUUGGCUUGGGGGUCGAUGAAGAACGGAGCUAAAUCCGUGACAUAAUGUGAACUGCAGGACACAUGAACAUCGACACUUUGAACGCAUAUUGCGGGCCUGUGCUCGUCACAGGCCUACCCUUGUUUCAGGGUCGGUUACACAACAUCCAUCGGGGUCUUCACUGGUGUGAAGCCCCGCAUUGUCCGGUCUGCAACCCUGGUUGUCGCAGCCGGAUCAAGAUGUACCUUGCAGCGUAGGACUGCAUCCAACUCUUGGUGUUGAAAAACCCGGGUUGGUGUGUCAGAGCCCCUGCGAGGUACGGACGUGUGGGGAGCUGACUGCUACUUUCAUCCCCUAUCGACGUCAAACCAAUUUAUCUUCGACCUGAAAUCAAGGGGGACUACCCGCCGAAUUUAAG